This is an RNA transcript of Onychostoma macrolepis, 3721 nucleotides long. It is a transcript of the gene named metaxin 1a, with no coding region annotated. The record is from RefSeq and is a predicted model, not a curated record. NCBI's taxonomy places the organism in Eukaryota, Metazoa, Chordata, Actinopteri, Cypriniformes, Cyprinidae. The transcript is spliced from 12 exons.
UCAGAAUCCAUUUUCCGGAGUGUGGGUUUGGAUGGUGUUUGUUAUGGUCUGGGUUUUGGGUUCAGAGUCUGGACAGCAUCAGUGUCUUUAUGCUAUAAACACUCUUGACGAUUUCCUGGAUAGUUAAGUGGUUCGCCCUGAUGAGCACUAUGUAAUUCAGUAUGAAUAUUUUGUUUUACAAUAUAAUAUAUCAAAUAACGAGGGUAAAACAUAAUUAUCAUAUUCUAUGAAGAUGUCAUACAGUAUGGAGAAAGUCCGAAAGAUUCUAGUUCAUCUGUCGAGAGAAAACACCGCUCCGCAGUGCGCACGAUUCGUGCAGAGCAUAACUGGACACUUUGUCGGGAGUGUUGAGGAUCAGGCAACUGUGAGCUGUUCUUUGGAGAAUAACAGAUUUAUUUUAUGUGACAGGCUGUGUGAUGGAGGAGUUCCUCUGAAGAGGGCAUCAUUUUGCCCCAUCAAAUACCUGUCUCACUCAGAGGCAGACACCCUGCCCCCAGACACCCUCAACCGUGGGGUAGACGUGGGCGUGGCUGUGCUGCUGCAGUCAGCCAAUCAGAGACUGUUGCUAACGCGUCGCGCCUCCAGCCUCCGGAUCUUCCCCAAUGUUUGGGUUCCGCCUGGUGGCCAUGUGGAGCUGGAUGAAAAGCUGUUGGAUGCAGGACUCAGAGAGCUGAAGGAAGAGACCGGUCUGAAACUGAGCCCUGAUGAGAUCUCCUCUCAGCUGCUCGGCCUGUGGGAGUCAGUGUAUCCGCCCAUGCUGUCCAUAGGACUGCCUAAGAGACAUCACAUUGUGACAUACAUACUUCUGAAGAGCUGUCAAUCACACCUGCAGCUACAGGCUUGUUUGCGCCCUGAUCCUGCUGAAGUCAGUGCGUGUGUGUGGGUCGAUGCAGGUCUGGUGGAAGUUGUAGUAUCUGCAGUAGACGGUGAGAAUGAUUCUGUUCAAAUACCAACUGACCUGCCACAGACCAUCAGUGUGACAGAGGUAUCUCCACACGGUGAGCUAAUCGAGACCUUGCUGCCUGUUUCUGUGCUCUGUAAUCGGGCCCCGGAUCAUGGCGAGGACAUUGAACGAGUCAGCACAGGAACCAAAUUUGCCUUAGAACUGUGGUUGAAAACACUGGAGCCUCAUUCUGAGAUGGGCUGAUGACUGCCUGCUUCUGUUUAUGUAGUUACCAUUUAACCAGUGCCUUGAGGAAGACAGCACCACCUGCUGGACUGGAGCUAUUUCAACAUUCAAAUCAAAAUUUGUGAUGCAGAUGGCCUUAGAAAAAGAGUUUUGAUUGGAAUAUGAUAUUAUAAUUAUCAACAUUAUCCAACAUUUUAUUAUUAAUACUUAUUUUCUCUGCAAAAGCUAGCAAAUUAAAAUUGAUUUAAUGCAGUAAAGUGAUUAACCUUUAUAAUUUUACCUUACGUUUUUCUUCCACACACAACUGCAAAUGCUUUGUUUUUAAAGGAAAACCUUUUUUUUUUUCUGUUCACAUGACCAGCAGAACAUUCACUUUGUUUCAGUAACCUCCCAAUGUUCAGACACUACCAUAUGCAGAAUAAAUGAAUCAUGACAAAUACUACACCUAUUAAUUGGAUAUUUCCUGAACAGUUUGUGUGUGAAUUCAGGGUCAGUUUACACAGCAGAGACGGAAAUAUGGGAAAAAUGAAAUUUCAUCACAGAUUAUAUUUGCGGAGAUAAUCUGCAGACUUUCACUUGCUUCACCCUUCCUCUGACACACAUUUAUGUUCUUGUACAAAUACUCCGUAUCUUGAUUUCUUAAUCAAGUUAAUUCCUGGCACAUUUUUAUCCUCUUUGCUUUUAAAAAGAAUUUGACCUGAAGUGAAACAGAGUCGUCUAGUUCUGUUCGGUUUAUUCCAUACUAACUUUGUCACCCAAUGCACAACCUACGCUAAAAGCUAAAACUCCUGCUUUUGAUCUGUGGUAGAGCUAGGCAGUUUCACCAAAAAUGUCAGGGUUUAUUCCCCAUUAAACAGUAUUUUCCUUAAGUUUAUUUUGUCCAAAAAAAAACCUAACAAAAAACCAAGUCACCCCUCUGCCAUUUUCAGAAAAUCUUUUUAAUUUUACUAAAUCACUGUUAAUACAUCACAUUACUGUCAUCAUUCAAUCCAUUUUUAAAAGUUACAAAUUACUUUGUACAAAGGUGUAUAGUAGGAAAAUAAAUUCUAAAUCAAUGUAAUGGCAUAUAAAAUCAUUUCCCUGUCCGCAGUACAGUGCCGGAUGUAUGACAGUUUUUCAUCCCACAAGGGUUUCCUCAGGCCUCGUUCUUCACACAUGGAAGGAGGGACAAUGUUGGGGGUCAGAAAACCUGAAUGAUUGAGUUAAAGUGUGAAUUUGAGCUCUGCUGGGUUAUUUACAGAAGUGUGUCAUGCUCGCCGCUGCAUUUGUGUUUUUUACUAUACCUGUGUCCUUCAUUGGUUCACCACGUACAUUCCUGCCCGGUUUUUCGGAGGUUUUUCUCUGACAUCCUGUGAAAAUAAGAGUCAAUUAACAGUAGAUGACAAUGAAGGGCAUGUACAUGCAACUAUAACAUUUUUCAAGAGUCAAAAGUCAUUAUGCUAAGUACUCUUUUUUUUUCUUUCUUUUUUUUUCUUUUUUUUUUAUUAACUUAAAAUGAUUACUAUUAUUUAUAAUUAUAUAUUUAGAGUUUUGGUUUCAUUUAUUUGAUCUUGUAUGUUUUGAUCAUUUUAUUUUAUUUAAAUGUUAGAUAUAUUUGAUAUUCCUUCGUAUAUUUACUUUACAUUUUGUUUAUUUUUUAUUUACUUAGUUUUUUUAUUAAUAUUGUGAUUUCUUUCUGUUAUUAGGCCUCUUUUUUAUUUACUUAAUUCUUUUGUUUAAAUAUUAUACACACUCACACACAAAUAUAUAUACAGUGUAUGGUGAAUUACACCUGUGUUUCUUCCAUUUUUAUUUAUUUAUUUUUGUGUGUGUGUGUGUGUGUGUGUGUGUGUGUGUGUGCGUACGUUCGUCUGGGCCCAUGUGAGUUGGGCUGUUUCGGGUGAUUUAGGUGAUUUUGUUUAUAUCAUAACUGAGAAUCAUCCAGCUUGUUAUUAAUAUAAAUGCCAGUGCCCUAACAAACGCCUCGGUUCAGCUCCGUUCAGUUAAUCACUCUCUGCUCUGAUCAGCUGUCCUGUCCACCAAAACCUGCUGCUCAGAUGCAUUCAGCCCUGGAGGCAUGAAUGAGGGUUGGAUUCAAAGCUUAAGUCUUUCUCUCCUGGCUCCCGUUAUUGUUCGAAUGUAGGCAGGGCAUUGUGAGCGGUGACGCCGGGGCUACUGGACGAUGGAGGAGACUCAGAUGGAGGCCUCACAGUCUCUGAACGAGAGUCGAGUUUCCCACGCUUCAGGUUUCUUAGUCAGAUCCGCACAAAGAGGGGCCUGUGCAGGCGACGGGGACGCUGGAACGCCAGGUGUGACACUCAAAUUGUCCCGUUCAUCCAGCAUGCAAGAGCUGAUCCAUGUCUGUACCAGCAGGGAUGUCUGGAUUGAAGUACAUGGGAGGAUUCAUCUCUUCAACUUCGUUCACGAAAAUUCUUCGUUUCGGACAACAGCACCAGAUCACCACCUGAGAGGAGGAACACCGUUGUCCUUUAACAGCAUACGCUCGCUUUGCUGGAGCUCCACUCAAAAUUCACAAGAUUUCUAACCCCUGGAGAAGCCCCACAGGUUCACUUCCAGCUCUCAGGACCAAAGAUGAAGGCAGCUGCUCCCAAC